Long non-coding RNA from Marmota monax (woodchuck), 489 nucleotides. RefSeq lists it as uncharacterized. The transcript has 3 exons. Lineage: Eukaryota; Metazoa; Chordata; Mammalia; Rodentia; Sciuridae. The record is from RefSeq and is a predicted model, not a curated record.
CUCAGCCCCUCUGCACCUUCAGCGUGCCUAGGGAGGGCUGUGGCUGGCCCCGGGAGCUGCGGCGCUACUUCCAGGUUCUCUUCUCUCAGGGCAGGCUUAUUCUGGAUACCAGGUCUUUACUUUUAAAUGAAAACCACCCGGCAUUCCUCUGUAGAUGGACACUAUACACAAACCUGGUUUUUUCUCAGAGCAGAAGUUAAAAAUUAUUCAAUGCAAAAUUCCUGGGCUGUGGAACAGUGGCCAGUUGUACCAGGCAAAGGUUUCCACCACAUUCCGCCCGCCAGGCCCGUGAUAAGACAGCCCUGCUGGACCCACACCACCAGGCCAACCUCGGCCUUUGGGAACCAGGGGCACGGAGGCUACAGGAAUGACUCAUCAGUUGGGCCAUACUCCCAGUGACUCAGAAGGCUGAGGCAAGAGGAUCACAAGUUCGAGGCCAGUCUCAGCAACUCAGCAAGCUCCUUUCUCAAAAUAAAGAAUGAAAAAGGC